GAUAUGUUCCAUAGUUUACAUCCUACAGCGGAGUAUCACGGAGCUGCCCGUGCAAUCGGUGGAUGUGCAAUUUAUGUCAGUGACAAACCAGGCCACCACAACUUUGACUUGUUGAAGAAGCUAGUCCUUCCCGAUGGAUCAGUUCUUCGUGCCCAGUUACCUGGACGACCGACACGUGACUCUUUGUUCAACGAUCCAGCAAGAGAUGGCACCAGCCUGCUCAAAAUUUGGAAUGUGAACAAGUGCUCUGGUGUUGUUGGAGUAUUCAAUUGUCAAGGUGCUGGUUGGUGCAGGAUCACCAAGAAGACUCGUAUUCACGACGAGUCUCCAGGUACCCUCACUACUGCUGUCCGUGCAGCUGAUGUCGAUGCUAUCUCACAAGUUGCUGGUGCCGAUUGGAAGGGCGAUACUAUCGUUUAUGCCUAUCGAUCAGGGGAGUUGACUCGAUUGCCAAAAGGCGCUUCGGUUCCGGUUACCCUCAAAGUUUUGGAAUAUGAUCUUUUCCACAUUUCCCCUAUAAAGGACAUCACCUCGAACAUCUCGUUUGCGCCAAUCGGCUUGCUUGACAUGUUCAACACCGGUGGUGCCCUCGAGCAAGUGGAUGUCCAAGUGUUCGAACCAAUGCCAGAGUUCGACGGUGAAGUUUCAUCGGAGCUAACAUGUUCUCUCCCUAAGGAUCGACCUCCAACAGCUACAAUCAGCUUGAAAGCCCGAGGAUGCGGAAGAUUUGGUGUAUACUCAUCUCAGCAACCACUAAAAUGCAGUGUGGACAAGAUUGAUACCGACUUUGUGUACGAUGAGGUGACGGGGUUAGUCACCUUCACACUCCCUAUCCCGACCAUGGAAAUGUAUAGAUGGAACAUUGAAAUUCAAGUUUAAGUGAAUGUGCUAUGCAUAUGCUUAAUUUCAUUAUUGCCAAUGCUACCAUAUCAUUUAAUAAUGGCUUAGAAAGAGAGAAAGAGAGAGAGAGGGAUGAUGAUAAGCCCUGAUUAAACCAGGGUUUUCAAAUUCGCUCCGACUUGGGAGAGAAGCAAACGCGAG
This 1041-nucleotide unclassified non-coding RNA is filed under the name Hevea brasiliensis (rubber tree). Lineage: Eukaryota; Viridiplantae; Streptophyta; Magnoliopsida; Malpighiales; Euphorbiaceae. The record is from RNAcentral.